RNA transcript from Lagenorhynchus albirostris (white-beaked dolphin), 9940 nucleotides. It is a transcript of the gene named kelch like family member 18, with no coding region annotated. NCBI's taxonomy places the organism in Eukaryota, Metazoa, Chordata, Mammalia, Artiodactyla, Delphinidae. The record is from RefSeq and is a predicted model, not a curated record. The transcript has 12 exons.
UUUGAGACUACGGCGGCCGCGCAGCUCCGUCUAACUCCAGCCUUGCGCUCCGAGCUGCCGUCCACAGGCGCCCUCGCCCCGCCCAGCUUAGCUUCGAGCCAGCCGGCCAGGCCUGCGCAGUCGCGGCGGCCGGGGAAGAUGGUGGAGGACGGCGCGGAGGAGCUGGAGGACCUGGUGCACUUCUCCGUGUCCGAGUUGCCUAGUCGCGGCUACGGCGUCAUGGAGGAGAUCCGGCGGCAGGGCAAGCUGUGCGACGUGACGCUCAAGAUUGGGGACCACAAAUUCAGUGCUCACCGGAUCGUCUUAGCAGCCUCAAUCCCGUAUUUCCACGCUAUGUUUACAAAUGACAUGAUGGAGUGCAAGCAGGAUGAGAUUGUAAUGCAAGGAAUGGACCCAAGCGCCCUGGAAGCUCUGAUCAACUUUGCCUACAACGGUCACCUUGCCAUUGACCAGCAAAACGUCCAGUCGUUGCUGAUGGGGGCGAGUUUCCUGCAGUUGCAGAGCAUCAAAGACGCCUGCUGCACAUUCCUCCGAGAACGGCUUCACCCCAAAAACUGCCUGGGUGUACGCCAGUUUGCUGAGACCAUGAUGUGUGCCGUGCUAUACGACGCGGCCAACAGCUUCAUCCACCAGCACUUUGUGGAGGUGUCCAUGUCGGAAGAGUUCCUGGCCCUGCCCCUGGAAGACGUGCUUGAGCUGGUGUCUCGGGAUGAGCUGAACGUGAAAUCAGAGGAGCAGGUGUUUGAGGCCGUGUUGGCCUGGAUCAGAUACGACCGGGAGCAGAGGGGACCCUGCCUGCCUGAGCUGCUGUCCAAUAUCCGCCUGCCCCUCUGCCGGCCCCAGUUCCUGUCAGACCGAGUGCAGCAGGAUGACCUGGUGCGUUGCUGCCACAAAUGCAGGGACCUGGUGGAUGAAGCAAAGGACUAUCACCUCAUGCCAGAGCGCCGGCCCCACCUGCCAGCUUUCAGAACUCGGCCUCGCUGCUGCACAUCUAUCGCUGGGCUCAUCUAUGCCGUGGGGGGCCUCAACUCAGCAGCAAAUUUUUAUGCAGGUGAUUCCCUGAAUGUGGUGGAAGUGUUCGACCCCAUCGCCAAUCGCUGGGAGAAGUGCCAUCCCAUGACCACAGCCCGCAGCCGUGUCGGUGUGGCCGUGGUGAACGGACUCCUCUAUGCCAUCGGGGGGUAUGACGGCCAGCUGCGGCUGAGCACUGUGGAGGUCUACAACCCAGAGACGGACACGUGGACCCGAGUGGGGAGCAUGAAUAGCAAGAGAAGUGCCAUGGGGACGGUCGUGCUGGACGGGCAGAUCUACGUCUGUGGUGGCUAUGAUGGCAACUCUUCUCUCAACUCUGUGGAGACCUACUCACCUGAGACGGACAAGUGGACUGUGGUGACCCCGAUGAGCUCCAAUCGCAGUGCUGCAGGGGUUACAGUCUUUGAGGGCAGGAUAUACGUGUCGGGCGGCCAUGACGGUUUGCAGAUCUUCAAUAGUGGAGCACUACAACCACCACACAGCCACCUGGCACCCGGCGGCCGGCAUGCUCAACAAGCGCUGCCGGCACGGAGCUGCAUCCCUGGGAAGCAAGAUGUUUGUGUGCGGGGGCUACGACGGCUCGGGCUUCCUCAGCAGCGCCGAGGUGUACAGCUCUGUGGCGGACCAGUGGUGCCUGAUAGUCCCCAUGCACACACGCCGGAGCCGGGUCUCCCUGGUGGCCAGCUGUGGGCGGCUGUACGCCGUGGGGGGCUACGACGGACAGUCGAACCUGAGCUCGGUGGAGAUGUACGACCCAGACACGGACCGCUGGACGUUUAUGGCCCCCAUGGCAUGUCACGAGGGAGGGGUCGGUGUGGGCUGCAUCCCUCUCCUCACCAUCUAAGGCGAAGGGUGGGAUGUGGUGGAGUAGGGAUCUGGUACAAACACAGGCACUUCCUUCCAGGGUUAGUCCCCCUCGGAAGAGGUGGUGGACCAGAAGACAGGGUGAAAUGUGAGCUCGCCAGAGGUACAGUUUUCCAGGUGCUUAAGUCCUCCCUCCCUGUGCAGCCCUUGUGACCUUCAGGCCUAGGUCAUCAAGAUGCACAGCGUGGGACAGAAGCCCCUCUGGGUCCCGCAGCUGGUGACACAGGACUGCUUUGCUGGUCCACAUGUCCACAGGCUCCAUCCAAGCCCAGCUCCCACCUGCCACAGCUCUGUGGGUCGCCCAUCUGCAGAGUGUCUUCCAUCUGACACUCCUUGCCUACUGCUUGCCAGGUGUGUUGUGGCCAGUUUGCGAUGGGGUGGCUUCAGUGGCCAAGCGUGUUGGAAACUGUGGGGUGUGGGUGGGAGAGGAGGGACACAGGCCGGGUUGUCCUCACUGCGAGGCUGCAGCCAUGGCAGUGCUGGUUGCACACACGCACCUCCUCCUUCCAUCCGAGCGCACCGAGAAUUUUGUCUGCAUUGCUGAGUAAGCACGAAGAACAGAAGCUUUUCCUGUGUCUAAUUUUGGGAUUUCAGCGAGGUCUUUUUCAUCUUGUUCAGGAGAAACAGAGGGAGAGGAUAAAAGAUACUUGAAAGAAACUGAAGGAAAGUUAAAGAAACACUUGAAAGAAACUGAAAAGAAAAAUAAUUUUUUAAAGUGAACAUUUUUUUGCAAGAAGAAAACAUAAAAGACACUAGAGGCAAAUAUGUGUUUAAAUGGAAAACCACCCAACGUGAAAAGGGUGGUAUCCGCUCCCACAUUCGGAUCCCAGGGUCCUAAGGCCUCGCAUGGCACUCGGGGUUCCCUCUGAGCCCCUGUGUGUCCAGAAUCAGUGCGCACUCGACCAGUCCUGUAGCAAGGUGCUCGUGGGGUUUGUCUUCACACCCACUAUCAGAGGACUUUUUUAAUCGUAGGCUUAGCGAGUUGGCUAAGUUAUUGCCACUCUUCUAGGUGGGAGCUCCUAGCUUGUCGCUGGAGGCUCCAGAUGCCCCUGUGGUUAUCUCCCACUGCCACCAUGGCACUCAUGCAGAUUCCCACCCCACUUUCAUUCCUUCCUUAUUUGACCAGCAGGAAACAGCAGGUCUGGCCAGAUUCUCAUUUGCCCAUCUAUCAUUCUUGGAUAGUUUUCUUCAUCGUGAUGCUUCUGAGGUACAUUGACCAUUUGUACCUCUAGAACCUAACCAGAGACUUGGUCCUUCCACCAGCCACGGCUGGCUUGAUCCAGUAACCAUAUCUACCCUGCCAGUCCGCUGCUCCUCCAUCCACUCGCCAAUUCCAGGGGUCUGGUCUCCCCUCCAGCCCUUGGCAGACUGACCAGCAAGGUGGACCUUUAUAUUCUAGCAAAGCUGGCUUUAUGACGUAAAGAACUAAAAGCUGAAAGAAUCUCUUGCUGCUGCAAAGAACAGAUUUUAUAUUUCUUCCUAUGAUCUUAGCUAAUGACCUCUUGAAGAGGCUCCAUGCUCCUCCUUCCUCCUCCCUGGAUGGGACCUUGAUGCUGCAAAGUGGGACCCCAACAGGAGGACUCUUCUCUUACCAGUGCACUGGGCAGUGGAGCUGUCCUUCAACUGCUGCUGCCAAAAUUUGGUUUUCCAAAAUUCUUCCAGUAGAGACUAAAAGAGGAUACAUUUCCAAUGCAUGAUUGGGUCUCAGGGUCCCAAUCUCUACUUGGUUGGUCUGCCCAUCGCUGCCUGCCUGGGUGUCCUGGAAGCCUGUUCAGAAAGGCACCAUGUGACACCUGAGACGUCUCUCCUACCCUGGGACUGUGAGGUUUACCAGUGUGUGCAAUCGCCAUGUUUCCAGAGGGAAGUACCUUUGUUACCUGCCACUUAGGAGCUGGGCCUCUGCUAAAAGCACUUGAAAAUGAUGUUUUUAUUUUAAAAGACUUAACAAUCUGAUAUAGUUGAGCCUGGGCUUGUGGUAGAGCUCUGGCAUUUCUCGCUCCCUGUCGGUUUGCCUGUUAGAGGUAGACUUGGAAGGAGGGUGGGGUCUGUUAUUCCUGUUAGAGAGGAGUUAUCAGUGCUUGUCUUCUUAUUAUAAGCCCCUUUCUUUUGUGAAUUUGCAACAGCACUGACAAACCUGGGUUGUGAAUGUGUUAAGAAUCAACCAGUGGACCUCACCAGGUCCUUAGGAUGCUGACCCAGAUUUUGCCAUUGGGGUUGAGAGAUCAUUUUCCCAUGAUCUGCUGCUCUUGUGAUAGCCUUCCUACAUCUACUCCCACCUCCUGGUGUAGAAGUUACACUGCUCCACCUGGGGUCAGUGUUUCCAAGUAAGGUGAAGCCAGUGCCUUGAUCUGGGCUCUGAGCACAAGUGAGCAAACACUAACAUUUUCACACUCUCCACAGUUGGUUCCUCAGUCUGACGGUGAUGACUGUUUACAGGUGGCUGGUCUGACCCUUUGAUGUUGGAGCCUUUCCAGUAAAACCAUGAAAAGAAGAGAUGCCACCCAUAGGUAUUGUGAAAAGGGUAUAGGGCAGAUACUGUGGACAGUGAACCUUGGGGUCCGACCCAGCUCUGAGCAGAGGACUGUGGCAUUCGCUGUCCUAGGGUAUUUCCCCUUAGAUAACACAAGGAACCUUCUCUUCUGGGUUUCAUCCGAGAGCAAAGCCAGGAUGGGAGCUGAAGUCCAGCCUUUUGACUUGGCCACAGAGAUGUGAGUAGGUAGGAAUUCCGAUUCCCCCUCCCCCCAAUUUAUUGUUUCCCAGAAAAAUCUUAAUUCCUUUUAUUUAUAGAACGCAUGUCUUUUGUGUUAAGAAACCAAAGAGAAAUAAAGAGUACACUCCUAAUAUCUUCUUGCCCUUUCCUGAUUUUAUUUUUUUUAAAUUAGAGGUAAAUCAUAUUUUUAUCGUAAUUCAGUGAAAAAAUAUUGGACAAAGUGAAAAUAUUUCUGUGAAAAUAAGGAAAAAGCCCAACAGCAUGGCAAAAGUAGUCUUUGGAGAGACGUGUAUAUUUUAUAAGAAUGGGUUCUGAUGAAAAAUAUAUGCAAAAGACUUCCUGAGCGUGUUGCAUAUUUGCUCCUGUCCGGAUCACCACUUCUCUUGGAUUUCCCCCUUUCUUCACUCCCUGCCAUAAAACUCCUAGAGUUCCUAAGUGGAAUGUGACUGCCUGUGACCACCUGGAGCCAAAACCCCCAGCUCCUUUUUUAUACCUCCAAGCCAGAGGUGCUUAGCUUUGGUGCACAUAAAAGUCACUGGAAAUUUUUUAAACCACAGAUUGACUUGUAGAACCCUCCCCAGAGACCAAUUCCCUAGGGCUGGGGUGCAGCUCAGGCCCUUGUGCAGGCAAGUUUCCACCAUGGUUGGUAUGCUCAUCCCAGUGUGAGAACCAGACUCCAGUGUUUAGUUUCCUCUUCCAGAUCUGCCUUCCUAAGAUUGCAUCCUGGUUACUGUGGUGGUGGAUUUUAGGAAACUCUUCAUGCACACUUUUCCAAAAGUCAGUUUAUGGUCAGCCUCAUCCAGUGGGUAAUGGUUGUACUCUUGGAUGACAACUUUUUGUGUGUGUGUGGCUGUGUUGGGUCUUCGUCACUGCACAUGACCUUUCUCUAGUUGCGGCGAGCGGGGGCUACUCUUCGUUGCAGUGCGCGGGCUUCGCGUUGCGGUGGCUUCUUUUGUUGCGGAGCAUGGGCUGUAGGCACAUGGGCUUCAGUUAGUUGUGGCACACGGGCUCUAGAGCGCAGACUCAGUAGUUGUGGCUCACAGGCUUAGUUGCUCCGCGGCAUGUGGGAUCUUCCCAGACCAGGGAUCGAACCCGUGUCCGCUGCAUUGGCAGGCAGAUUCUUAUCCCCUGCGCCACCAGGGAAGCCCUGGAUGAUAACUUUUUAAAAACGUUUUUGGAAGGGUAUGUCACUCCCACAUACACCCCCUCAGCAUGUUUCACAUAUAAACACUGUUGAUUCUCACUUGGUCCUCUUAGUAACCUCUGUGCAAUAGGUGACAUAGCUCAUUUUAACAUAAAUUUUCUCAGAAGGGCUGAGUAACUGACCUGAUUCAUCAACUAAUUGGUAGUAUCGUCAAGAAUUGAGACCAGAUCUCCACAUUCACAGUCCAGUUCACCUGAGGAAAGCAGUGUCUUCGUCCUCUGGAGCAGCUGAUUCAUCCAGCCUCCAUGCCCCGAGUGUGGAGGUCUGCUGCCCAGUACUGUGAUGGCCUUCGAGAAGCAGACUGAGCAGCGAGAGAAAGAGAAGAACCCUGUUUGGAUUAUGGAAACAGACUCUCAAUUCUGUUUCAUCGAUCUCUAUGCCUGUCCAUGAGCCAAUACCACACUGAUUGUAUGCUACUGAGUUUUCCAGCUUUAAAGAACUUAUUUUCAUCUCAGCAUUGUUUACAGCAAUUUCAAAGCAAAACAAAAUGGAAACAACUUCGACAGCAGGAGUGACUUAAAUAAAUGGAGGUCUAACCACCCAAUGGAGAAUUACACAGAAAAAAACAUGGGGUGAGUCAAUAGUGACGGAAGUGUGUUAGCUGACAGGUUAAAUGAGAAUAAGCUGGUUGUAAAAUGGGCCGUAAAAUGACUGUGAAGUCAUUUUUUCUUUUAAAAAUAAAACUCACAUUGUACCUGUAUGUAUGAGGAAUGAAAUUUGAUUCCUGCAGCUAUUUAGAUGUUGCCCUAGAGGUCUGUUCACCCAUUGUGUUCCCACCCCCAACCCCCAGUGAAUUUUUCCUUCUCGGUCUUGCUUCUGUGGGCCUGAAGACGUUCAGAAGCUGCCAAGGCCAAGAGGCUGAGCUGUAUUUGGAGCCUUGAUACCAUCUCAGGGCCUGAUAGUGUCUGGGCUAUGAGAAUACAGCAGAGUGGCCCCAGGAGAGCCUCGUGGCUGAUCCUACAGGCCUGCCCUCUUGCGGGGUACAGCAUGAUGGGCCUUGUGUAAUGUGGCAUUGACCACCAUAGAUGAGCCUUGAGCUUCCUGGGAGAAGUUGCUCAGCCCGUUAGUGUCCAGAACCCCCUAGAAGACCUGGAUGAGACCUGGAAGUACUCUUUCGGGGUGGGGGCCAGGCAAGGGAGUGAUAUGUGGUGGUGUGCCUGCGGUGCUGGUGCCUUCUGCUCUCUGCAGGAGCUAGAAGUGACCUUCUCCAGCUGAACAUCAUUGUCCCACCAUGGGGAGAGGGUCUGGGGUCUAGUUUAUCCUGCUCAGCCCAAACCUGCCCAUUUCCCACCCCAGGGUUGCUCCCUGCAGCAUCCCCCACCCCCUCUUGCCCACCAGUGGGGCUACCUGAGAUUUAGGUGGCAAGGGAGUUGGAGUGUGGACUAUGGGCAAGUUAACCAAUUUCCUUGAGGCUUAGUUUUCUCACUGAAAGUUGCAGGUGAUGCAUGCAGCUUGCAACGCAUUUCUGAGACCUGAGAAGUGUAUUCCCAUUCACUGUAUGGGAAGUGGCAUUCAUAAAUCGUGGCUAUUAUUAUCAUUAAUGGAGAGGAGUCCUUGGCUUUCCUGGGAUAAUUACUAAAAAACCCAUUUCCCCAAGGGGCUCUACACCAUGGCCCCUCAAAUGAGAGUUUCCCACAGAUAUUUCUGUAGCAAAGACUUGAAAAAGGAGCCUACUAGUUAGAAGACAAGGGCAUUCAUCCAUUCAACAAGUAUUUACUGAGCAACUACAGUGUGUCAGGCCCUGUUCUCAGGGCUGGAUGUAUCAGGAACCAAGGCCAGGGUUUGCUGGUGGACCAGAUGUGGCUGUGAAAGACAGCAGAGAGCCAGAUGCUCAGGUGCUUGGAUGGAGGCUGCCAUCAGCUGGGCUGGGGUGGGCUGUAGGAAGGGUGGUUUGGAGGGAAGAUACUGUGUGGCACACCUUGGACAUCCAUGGGGAGGCGUCCAGGAGGCAAUCUGAAAUGCGAGUCUGGGGUUCAGGGAGAGGUUCUGGCUGGAGCUUAGAUAAAGAAGGAAGCAUAAAGGAAUGAAAGGUGGUUGAGGAGGCUGGGGGCAGAUUACUUUGCCUUCUUGAGCUUCCAGGGAAGCCCUUGGAUGCCCCCCCAACCCAUGUUUCUCUUCAUUGUCCCUGCCCUGACCUCAGGGAGUCUGUGUUCCCAUGAUGCACAGUGGAAUCACCCCCAGGACCUGUCUCAUUUGUCUCCUCACCCCAAGUCCAGCUGGCCCAGCUCUAACACCUUAUUCAUUCACAUUCAUGUAAUCAUUUAUUUUAGAAAUGUUUUAUUGAGUUUCUCUCCUGUGGCUCUCACCAGAGAGUGGCCUGACCCCCUCUUGGAGGUACCUGGAUAUAUGAAGGGACAUUUAGUUGUCACAGUGACUGGGCAGGGAACAGGGGCACUCAGGGUCCUGCACAGAAGGAACUGCCCUCCCAGGAUUCAGGAGCACUUUGCUGAGAUAGUCAUUCCCCAGCCACCUGCAGCUGGCUGAGGAGGGCUCAGCUGUGAGUAAAUACAGUGCUACGGAGCCUGGGACACAGCAGGUAAUGCCAGGUAAUGGUUUGGGGAUCAUGAAUGCACAGAUGAGGGAAGGACACUUCUGCUGCCCAGGGAAGAGCAGAGAGGCUUCCUGGAGGAGGUGACUUUGGAGCUGUGCCUUAAAAGAUGAGCAGGAUUUACAGACACAGGAUGGGCAGGAAUUCCAGACAGAGGGAAGCAGGUAUGCGAAUGCAGAGGAGUAUGGGUGGGCUCAGACUGCAGGAAAGGGAGUGCUGAGGGCAGCAGAGGAAGAGAAUGGGUGGGAAUAAGAGGUUGUGGUGGGGUUGCAGGGCAUCCCUUCCCUUCCGCAGCCCUAGAAAUUCCUCAGUAUGUUGGUGAUGAUGUCGUGCUUGGCUUUCUCGUACAGGUCCCUGACUGCAUGUGGCAGUUGGGAGCUCUCAGUUCCUGGAGUGUCCACUCCAGGGGACCCAGCAGAACGCCUCACCCGGCGGACCUACAGAAGUGAUGCAGACGUGAUCACCCUCAUUGAUUGGCCCCCUUUCCUGUCCUGCCUGUGGCCCCUCUCUCCAGGUGGGGAUGAGUGUGAGGCACCGGCAGUGAUGUUGGUGAUGGGGCUGGAGGUGGUCCCCAGUGAGGCCCUUCCACUCGGAGUCCAGAGGGCCUGGGAAGGCCUGAACUCUGCCGCUCACUUCCUCUCUGGCUAUUCCACUCACUUGCUAGGAGGCUGCACCUCCGGCUUCAGUUUUUCCAAAUGUGGGAUGUGGAGGAGGGUUCCCAGAGCUCAGGGCCCAGAGCAGAGCCAGUGUCCUGCGAAGUCUGAGCUCCCUCUCACCCCCAGGACGCCCCUUAGCCUCGACCACCAGUCUCUCCUCCCCACCCCUCCUGCCAAACGACUAGCAGUCAUCAAGGUCCAACCGUGCCUCACACUCCACAAGCCUUUCCCCUCCUGAUGACUUGCGUUUAGAAGGGCUCGAUCGGCCCGGUUUCCAGAGGAGGAAACUGAGGCCCCACGCGCCGAAGUCAGUGGCCCGGGUGAGGGCCCCUCAGUCAUCGGCGGUCACCGGGCAGAGCGCCGCCCGCGACGGAAACAGACUGGGGCCAGCACGGGCGCAGGGGCUCAUCUCCGGCUUGAGCUCGCGCUCGUGGUCCGGGUCCCCAGGGCAGUUGAGGGAUGGUUGAGGGACGGAAGGAUGUGCUGCAGCAUGAAGAAGAUGCCCGUGCAGUUCCGCUCUUCCUGCGGGUCAGUGAGCACAGGGGUGCGGUGGCCGACGUUCUUGCCCAGGUACACAGGCUCCCGAAGCCGGCGCCUUCCCUAAUCCUCCCCCCAGAGCCAGGAGGGAGCGGCGAACGCUGGGGGGACCCGGGCGGGCUCCGUGAACGCCCAGUAAAAUUAAGGACUUUCAUGCAAGUUAUAUUAAACGGGAAAAGGCCUCCAAAAUUAGCCUCAGAGGAAGCUAUAUUUGUUUAAAACACUCGUGUGUACAUAAAAAAGAUACAGAAGAUGAUUCACCAACGGUAAUGUUGUCUCCUCCUGGGUAGUGGGGUUGCAGGGGGUUUUUGUUUGUUUGUUUUUAGUUUGCUUCUCCACAUUUUGUUAAUUUGCUAUAAUAAAAUAUUAUUUUCCUAAUUUUAGAAAAA